Molecule: ribosomal RNA, 688 nt
Filed under: Salmonella enterica
Lineage: Bacteria; Pseudomonadati; Pseudomonadota; Gammaproteobacteria; Enterobacterales; Enterobacteriaceae
Description: partial 23S ribosomal RNA
Rfam family: Bacterial large subunit ribosomal RNA
Source: RNAcentral
GGGUUGUGAGGUUAAGCGACCAAGCGUACACGGUGGAUGCCCUGGCAGUCAGAGGCGAUGAAGGACGUGCUAAUCUGCGAAAAGCGCCGGUAAGGUGAUAUGAACCGUUAUAACCGGCGAUGUCCGAAUGGGGAAACCCAGUGUGACUCGUCACACUAUCAUUAACUGAAUCCAUAGGUUAAUGAGGCGAACCGGGGGAACUGAAACAUCUAAGUACCCCGAGGAAAAGAAAUCAACCGAGAUUCCCCCAGUAGCGGCGAGCGAACGGGGAGGAGCCCAGAGCCUGAAUCAGCAUGUGUGUUAGUGGAAGCGUCUGGAAAGGCGCGCGAUACAGGGUGAGAGCCCCGUACACAAAAGCGCACAUGCUGUGAGCUCGAUGAGUAGGGCGGGACACGUGGUAUCCUGUCUGAAUAUGGGGGGACCAUCCUCCAAGGCUAAAUACUCCUGACUGACCGAUAGUGAACCAGUACCGUGAGGGAAAGGCGAAAAGAACCCCGGCGAGGGGAGUGAAACAGAACCUGAAACCGUGUACGUACAAGCAGUGGGAGCCUCUCUUUAUGGGGGGUGACUGCGUACCUUUUGUAUAAUGGGUCAGCGACUUAUAUUCUGUAGCAAGGUUAACCGCAUAGGGGAGCCGAAGGGAAACCGAGUCUUAAUUGGGCGUUAAGUUGCAGGGUAUAGACCCGAA